UACGUAGGGUGCAAGCGUUGUCCGGAAUUAUUGGGCGUAAAGAGCUCGUAGGCGGUCUGUCGCGUCUGCUGUGAAAACUCAGGGCUUAACCCUGAGCUUGCAGUGGGUACGGGCAGACUAGAGUGCGGUAGGGGAGACUGGAAUUCCUGGUGUAGCGGUGAAAUGCGCAGAUAUCAGGAGGAACACCGGUGGCGAAGGCGCCACUCUGGGCCGAAACUGACGCUGAGGAGCGAAAGCGUGGGUAGCAAACAGG
This 253-nucleotide ribosomal RNA is filed under the name uncultured bacterium. RNAcentral describes it as "partial 16S ribosomal RNA". It matches the Rfam family "Bacterial small subunit ribosomal RNA", at positions 524 to 776 of the family's 1533-position model. The record is from RNAcentral.